CGAGAAAAUCGGCUUGUUGAUUCCUGUUUCGGCAGGGGUAGGAAAGUCCGGACACCAUAGAGCAGCAAAGCGGAUAACAUCCGUCACCCGUGAGGGUAGGACAAGUGCAACAGAAAGCAGGUACAGUUCGGCUGUAGUGAAACCAGGUAAACUCUUUGCGGUGCAAUGAUAAGUAUAUCGGUUCUUUUCAGUAAUGGAAAUUAGGGGCGGCUCGUCCUGAAAGCCGAGGGGUAAUCAGCUCAAGUUUUGCAGCAAUGUAAGACGCAGAUAAAUAACAGGCGCUUCUUCGGAAGAACAAAAUCCGGCUUACAGAUCUUCUCGCGAU
RNAcentral lists this RNase P RNA (325 nucleotides) under Chryseobacterium sp. OV279. RNAcentral describes it as "Bacterial RNase P class A". It matches the Rfam family "Bacterial RNase P class A". Rfam says of the family: Ribonuclease P (RNase P) is a ubiquitous endoribonuclease, found in archaea, bacteria and eukarya as well as chloroplasts and mitochondria. Its best characterised activity is the generation of mature 5'-ends of tRNAs by cleaving the 5'-leader elements of precursor-tRNAs. Cellular RNase Ps are ribonucleoproteins. The record is from RNAcentral. Lineage: Bacteria; Pseudomonadati; Bacteroidota; Flavobacteriia; Flavobacteriales; Weeksellaceae. RNAcentral also lists the same sequence under 1 other name.